CAGAUGAAUACUCUUUAAGAAUUUUUCAUCAAUAUGUUGUAUUUUUAAAUAAUUUUCUUAAAAACAGUUAUUUUUUGAAAGUUUUCAUUUUUAGAGAAAUAUUAUAGAUUUGGGUUUGUGAUUUAGAAAUUAGGAGAACAAAAAUAUUUGUGGAUAGAUGAGUAUUCUUUCGGAGUUUUUCAUCAAUAGUUUGUAUUUUUAAAUAAUUUUCUUAAAAACCUCUAUUUUUGGAAUGUUUUCAUUUUACAGAUAAAUAUUGUAGAUUUGGGUUUGUAAUUUAGAAAUUAGGAUAACUAGACUAUUUGUGGACAGAUGAAUACUCUUUAAGAAAUUUUCAUCAAUAUUUUGUAUUUUUAAAUAAUUUUCUUAAAAACUGUUAUUUUUGGAAAGUUUUCAUUUUUUUCAAAAAAUAUUAUAGUUAUUGGUUUGUGAUUUAUUAAUUAGGAUAACAAGAAUAUCUGUGGAUAAAUGAGUAUUCUUUCGGUGUUUUUCAUCAAUAGGUUGUAUUUUUAAAUAAUUUUCUUAAAAACUGCUAUUUCUGGAAAGUUUUCGUUUUAUACAUAAAUAUUUUAGAUUUGGGUU
RNAcentral lists this long non-coding RNA (582 nucleotides) under Brassica napus (rape). Its description in RNAcentral is "long non-coding RNA (BNAP_LNC007398)". The record is from RNAcentral. Lineage: Eukaryota; Viridiplantae; Streptophyta; Magnoliopsida; Brassicales; Brassicaceae.